CGCCGGGCGGCCCGGAACCGGGGGUGCCGGCCCCCCCCGGGGGGACCGGCCCCGGGACCGGUCACCCGGCCCCGGGUUCGGCCGCCCGGCCCGGGGUC
This 98-nucleotide transfer RNA is filed under the name Kitasatospora indigofera. RNAcentral's name for it is "tRNA-Arg". The record is from RNAcentral. Lineage: Bacteria; Bacillati; Actinomycetota; Actinomycetes; Kitasatosporales; Streptomycetaceae.